CUCUUAGUAGAAGUUCGGCUCUCACGGGAGCUCGGUUGGAAUCUUGAAGGCGGUCGACCGUUGUAGGAACUUGGAUGGAGUCUGAUUACUGUAGAAAUCUCGUUGUCGAAGAAGCUCGAAUAUUGACGAAGUCCGAAAGAAGUUUGGAGAAUAGUUGAUCACUGUAGAAGGUCGGCUGAUAGUGAGGUCUAGAGAGCCUGUGGAGCAGCCUGGUAGAUGGAUGGAGAGACUCCUUGUCGGAGAAGUUCGGAAGCUCGGACGGUCGAGGGGGUUCGGAGAGAUGCCAC
This 287-nucleotide long non-coding RNA is filed under the name Elaeis guineensis (African oil palm). RNAcentral describes it as "long non-coding RNA (EGUI_LNC020435)". The record is from RNAcentral. Lineage: Eukaryota; Viridiplantae; Streptophyta; Magnoliopsida; Arecales; Arecaceae.